Molecule: long non-coding RNA, 848 nt
Filed under: Nilaparvata lugens (brown planthopper)
Lineage: Eukaryota; Metazoa; Arthropoda; Insecta; Hemiptera; Delphacidae
Description: uncharacterized LOC120349005
Source: RNAcentral
GAAUUCACUUUAAAUUAACAUUGGUUCUUAUGGGAGUAUUCACCCAUCGGCAGAAAGUUGAGCAGAAAAAAAGAACUGUUCAAAUCAGAGACGAACUGUCGUUCAUCUUGCCGUUCUUUAUAAGGCCUAUCAACACAAUGCUAUUUUGCUUCGACCGAUCACUGCUCGUGAACCGUUUUGUCGAAAAAGAACUAAUUUCGGGAUUCUGUCGACGAGAACAGACAGCUUCGAAUCACUUUUCUGCUCUGAUCACGUGACACCGGCAGAAUAAUCUUUCUGUGGAUCAGACGCCAUGUUCUUUUUAACCUCAAUCUUUAAUUGUUGGAUGGUUUGUUUUGAUAUUGGUUGUCAGAUUUCGGAUUGCUACUAUUAUACUGUGAAAUUAAUUUGCAGUGGAAAAUUGAGGUAUAAAAUAUUUCUAUUGGUUUCUUUAUUCUUAUAAUUUUUACAAGAGAAAUUGAAAAUGGAUUUACAACAGAAAGGCGUGAAAUUUUCGAAGUUCAAAGUUUUGUACUUUCCAGACCUGCACAACGAAUUACCUAUUUGAAAAAUAGAAUAUGGUUAGAAAUUGCUGAUGUAAUAGAGGAUUCAAGUACCAUUUACAAACAAAAUAUUGAAGAGAAUGUGCUCAAAGGAAAUGCAUAUGAAUUCUUUUUUGUUGACCAGGAUGGAACAAUUCUUUGGAACCUAUACUUAGAAUAAGUUAGUUAGGCCUAGUGAUGUACCAGCCAGAAGUAGAGGAUGACAAAGAAAAUCAACUAUGAAUAAUAUUCCAUGGAUAUGAUUCAUGUAUGAUGUAGUAGCCUACAGAAGAAAGAGAUGGACUAAUCUAAGAAAUAUAUUCAUUU